Molecule: ribosomal RNA, 1552 nt
Filed under: Salmonella enterica subsp. enterica serovar Typhimurium
Lineage: Bacteria; Pseudomonadati; Pseudomonadota; Gammaproteobacteria; Enterobacterales; Enterobacteriaceae
Description: bacterial SSU rRNA
Rfam family: Bacterial small subunit ribosomal RNA
Source: RNAcentral
AAAUUGAAGAGUUUGAUCAUGGCUCAGAUUGAACGCUGGCGGCAGGCCUAACACAUGCAAGUCGAACGGUAACAGGAAGCAGCUUGCUGCUUCGCUGACGAGUGGCGGACGGGUGAGUAAUGUCUGGGAAACUGCCUGAUGGAGGGGAUAACUACUGGAAACGGUGGCUAAUACCGCAUAACGUCGCAAGACCAAAGAGGGGGACCUUCGGGCCUCUUGCCAUCAGAUGUGCCCAGAUGGGAUUAGCUUGUUGGUGAGGUAACGGCUCACCAAGGCGACGAUCCCUAGCUGGUCUGAGAGGAUGACCAGCCACACUGGAACUGAGACACGGUCCAGACUCCUACGGGAGGCAGCAGUGGGGAAUAUUGCACAAUGGGCGCAAGCCUGAUGCAGCCAUGCCGCGUGUAUGAAGAAGGCCUUCGGGUUGUAAAGUACUUUCAGCGGGAGGAAGGUGUUGUGGUUAAUAACCGCAGCAAUUGACGUUACCCGCAGAAGAAGCACCGGCUAACUCCGUGCCAGCAGCCGCGGUAAUACGGAGGGUGCAAGCGUUAAUCGGAAUUACUGGGCGUAAAGCGCACGCAGGCGGUCUGUCAAGUCGGAUGUGAAAUCCCCGGGCUCAACCUGGGAACUGCAUUCGAAACUGGCAGGCUUGAGUCUUGUAGAGGGGGGUAGAAUUCCAGGUGUAGCGGUGAAAUGCGUAGAGAUCUGGAGGAAUACCGGUGGCGAAGGCGGCCCCCUGGACAAAGACUGACGCUCAGGUGCGAAAGCGUGGGGAGCAAACAGGAUUAGAUACCCUGGUAGUCCACGCCGUAAACGAUGUCUACUUGGAGGUUGUGCCCUUGAGGCGUGGCUUCCGGAGCUAACGCGUUAAGUAGACCGCCUGGGGAGUACGGCCGCAAGGUUAAAACUCAAAUGAAUUGACGGGGGCCCGCACAAGCGGUGGAGCAUGUGGUUUAAUUCGAUGCAACGCGAAGAACCUUACCUGGUCUUGACAUCCACAGAACUUUCCAGAGAUGGAUUGGUGCCUUCGGGAACUGUGAGACAGGUGCUGCAUGGCUGUCGUCAGCUCGUGUUGUGAAAUGUUGGGUUAAGUCCCGCAACGAGCGCAACCCUUAUCCUUUGUUGCCAGCGGUUAGGCCGGGAACUCAAAGGAGACUGCCAGUGAUAAACUGGAGGAAGGUGGGGAUGACGUCAAGUCAUCAUGGCCCUUACGACCAGGGCUACACACGUGCUACAAUGGCGCAUACAAAGAGAAGCGACCUCGCGAGAGCAAGCGGACCUCAUAAAGUGCGUCGUAGUCCGGAUUGGAGUCUGCAACUCGACUCCAUGAAGUCGGAAUCGCUAGUAAUCGUGGAUCAGAAUGCCACGGUGAAUACGUUCCCGGGCCUUGUACACACCGCCCGUCACACCAUGGGAGUGGGUUGCAAAAGAAGUAGGUAGCUUAACCUUCGGGAGGGCGCUUACCACUUUGUGAUUCAUGACUGGGGUGAAGUCGUAACAAGGUAACCGUAGGGGAACCUGCGGUUGGAUCACCUCCUUACCUUAAAGAAGC